This 722-nucleotide ribosomal RNA is filed under the name uncultured bacterium. RNAcentral describes it as "bacterial SSU rRNA". It matches the Rfam family "Bacterial small subunit ribosomal RNA", at positions 60 to 763 of the family's 1533-position model. The record is from RNAcentral.
AGUCGAACGGAAGUCGUUAUAAAAAGGAUUGAAGAUUUAUCUGAUUGAGAUUUUAUAACAAUGGCUUUAGUGGCGGACUGGUGAGUAACGCGUGAGCAACCUGCCUACUAGAGGGGAAUAACAGUGAGAAAUCAUUGCUAAUACCGCAUAUGCCAUGAACAUCACAUGAUGAAAAUGGGAAAAGAGUAAUCUGCUAGUAGAUGGGCUCGCGUCUGAUUAGAUAGUUGGUGGGGUAACGGCCUACCAAGUCGACGAUCAGUAGCCGGACUGAGAGGUUGAACGGCCACAUUGGGACUGAGAUACGGCCCAGACUCCUACGGGAGGCAGCAGUCGGGAAUAUUGCGCAAUGGAGGAAACUCUGACGCAGUGACGCCGCGUAUAGGAAGAAGGUUUUCGGAUUGUAAACUAUUGUCGUUAGGGAAGAUACAAGACAGUACCUAAGGAGGAAGCUCCGGCUAACUACGUGCCAGCAGCCGCGGUAAUACGUAGGGAGCAAGCGUUAUCCGGAUUUAUUGGGUGUAAAGGGUGCGUAGACGGGACAACAAGUUAGUUGUGAAAUCCCUCGGCUUAACUGAGGAACUGCAACUAAAACUAUUGUUCUUGAGUGUUGGAGAGGAAAGUGGAAUUCCUAGUGUAGCGGUGAAAUGCGUAGAUAUUAGGAGGAACACCGGUGGCGAAGGCGACUUUCUGGACAAUAACUGACGUUGAGGCACGAAAGUGUG